This 253-nucleotide ribosomal RNA is filed under the name uncultured bacterium. RNAcentral's name for it is "partial 16S ribosomal RNA". It matches the Rfam family "Bacterial small subunit ribosomal RNA", at positions 524 to 776 of the family's 1533-position model. The record is from RNAcentral.
UACGGGGGGGGCAAGCGUUGUUCGGAAUUACUGGGCGUAAAGGGCGCGUAGGCGGCCUUCUAAGUCGGACGUGAAAUCCCUCGGCUUAACCGAGGAACUGCGUCCGAUACUGAAAGGCUUGAAUCCGGGAGAGGGAUGUGGAAUUCCAGGUGUAGCGGUGAAAUGCGUAGAUAUUGCUCGGAAGGCCAGAGCCGAAGGGGCCCUACUGGUGCGCAACUGACACUGAGGCACGAAAGCGUGGGGAGCAAACAGG